This 75-nucleotide antisense RNA is filed under the name Streptomyces silvensis. RNAcentral's name for it is "ASpks TB sRNA". It matches the Rfam family "ASpks TB sRNA". Lineage: Bacteria; Bacillati; Actinomycetota; Actinomycetes; Kitasatosporales; Streptomycetaceae. The record is from Rfam by way of RNAcentral.
CUUGAUCGAGCCGAGCCACAGGGGCCGGUCGGCAGGGCGGUCCUGCCCGUAGGUGGCGAGCAGGGCCUGGGCCUC